CCAGACUCCUACGGGAGGCAGCAGUAGGGAAUCUUCCACAAUGGACGCAAGUCUGAUGGAGCAACGCCGCGUGAGUGAAGAAGGGUUUCGGCUCGUAAAGCUCUGUUGGUAGUGAAGAAAGAUAGAGGUAGUAACUGGCCUUUAUUUGACGGUAAUUACUUAGAAAGUCACGGCUAACUACGUGCCAGCAGCCGCGGUAAUACGUAGGUGGCAAGCGUUGUCCGGAUUUAUUGGGCGUAAAGCGAGUGCAGGCGGUUCAAUAAGUCUGAUGUGAAAGCCUUCGGCUCAACCGGAGAAUUGCAUCAGAAACUGUUGAACUUGAGUGCAGAAGAGGAGAGUGGAACUCCAUGUGUAGCGGUGGAAUGCGUAGAUAUAUGGAAGAACACCAGUGGCGAAGGCGGCUCUCUGGUCUGCAACUGACGCUGAGGCUCGAAAGCAUGGGUAGCGAACAGGAUUAGAUACCCUGGUAGUCCAUGCCGUAAACGAUGAGUGCUAAGUGUUGGGAGGUUUCCGCCUCUCAGUGCUGCAGCUAACGCAUUAAGCACUCCGCCUGGGGAGUACGACCGCAAGGUUGAAACUCAAAGGAAUUGACGGGGGCCCGCACAAGAAGGGCGAAU
This 617-nucleotide ribosomal RNA is filed under the name uncultured bacterium. RNAcentral describes it as "bacterial SSU rRNA". It matches the Rfam family "Bacterial small subunit ribosomal RNA", at positions 331 to 939 of the family's 1533-position model. The record is from RNAcentral.